CCUACGGGUGGCAGCAGUGAGGAAUAUUGGUCAAUGGGCGAAAGCCUGAACCAGCCAAGUCGCGUGAGGGAGUACUGCCCUAUGGGUUGUAAACCUCUUUUGUCGGGGAGCAACAGCCGGACGUGUCCGGCUGUGAGAUUACCCGAAGAAAAAGCAUCGGCUAACUCCGUGCCCGCAACCGCGGUAAUACGGAGGAUGCGAGCGUUAUCCGGAUUUAUGGGGUUUAAAGGGUGCGCAGGCGGAUUUUUAAGUCAGCGGUAAAAUCGUGGGGCUCAACCCCAUCCAGCCGUUGAAACUGGGGAUCUAGAGUGCGCGAGAGGUAGGCGGAAUGCGUGGUGUAGCGGUGAAAUGCAUGGAUAUCACGAAGAACCCCGAUUGCGAAGGCAGCAUACCGGUGCACAACUGACGCUCAGGCACGAAAGCGUGGGUAUCGAACAGGAUUAGAUACCCCUGUAGUC
This 458-nucleotide ribosomal RNA is filed under the name uncultured bacterium. RNAcentral's name for it is "partial 16S ribosomal RNA". It matches the Rfam family "Bacterial small subunit ribosomal RNA", at positions 338 to 795 of the family's 1533-position model. The record is from RNAcentral.